This is a long non-coding RNA of Vigna unguiculata (cowpea), 2729 nucleotides long. NCBI's taxonomy places the organism in Eukaryota, Viridiplantae, Streptophyta, Magnoliopsida, Fabales, Fabaceae. The record is from RefSeq and is a predicted model, not a curated record.
UUUAUUCCUCCUCUUUCGAUCUCUCCAAGGCCAAACCCUACAAAUCCUCGUUCUCCGCUCGAACGCUCUCACAGUCGAGAUCCGUGCCGAUUUCUUAAACAUCACCUUCCUCUGCAACCUCUACCUACUGAAGAACCAAUUUUCCGAUGAGUUCCCUCCGAGUCUCACUCUACUCACCCGAUUCAUUUGCUUGGAUCUCUCCUCCAACUUCACCUAUCAAAUCCCUUUCAUCCUGGCUCCGGCUCCGUCUCCCUCCUCCAAUUCAACCUCCGUCACGACGCAUAAGAAGUCCAAGAAGCUCUUCACGGGCGCCAUUGUCGCAAUCGUUGUCGGAUCAGGUCUCAUCGUGGCCUUGCUGCUAUGUCGUCAGCAAAACCGCCAAAGCUUGUUGCGGAGGCACGUGCAUUGAUGGUGGAGGCGGGGACGUCGUCGUCGAAGAAGGACAUCACCGGGGUUUCAACGGAGGCGGAAAGAAACAAACUUGUGUUCUUUGAAGGGGGAUAUAAGUUUCGAUUUGGAGGAUUGGUUGAGGGCUUCGACCAAGAUGUUGGGGGAAGGGACUUUGUACAAGGUGGUGCUGGAGGAAGGGACAAUGGUGGUGGUGAAGACUAAGCACGAUAGUGUGGUGCCUCACAGCUUGUUUUCUCUCUUUCACGGAGAAAAUCAAUAUAGAAGCCAGUUUUGUGAUGAAGCUGCAAUAUUAUCUAUUGCCGCACUCACAGGUCGUGGUGCUCUCAUUCAAAUUGUAGAAGUCAUGCUUGAUGGGACUGCACAAUUUGUUUCAAAAUGUUAAGGUUUCAAAGGCAGGGAUUUUCCCAGUUGAGAACUCUAGAAAAGAACACGGUCCAUGUGGGGACACACACACCCGUCCACUGAGUGGUUCUUUGGGAAUUCUUAUGCCUCGGUGACUCCUCUUACAGCUACUACUACCAAUAGUGGUGGCCUAGGGAAUGAUAAUGCAAGCAAUUGGAGUAGCGAUGUGAAUGCUUGGGCUGAUGUGCCGCAGCAAUAUACUGCUUUGCCCUAGCUGGCAAGAUGUGAAAGCACGAGGGAGGAUAAAGAGGAGUAAGAGAGUUGUUGAACAUGCUUCGAGAAGAGGAAAAGUUGGUGUGUGACGAAGGCCACACAAUGGUUUGCAAGAAGAGGGCAAGCUACGUGUGAUGGAGGCACGAGGUUGCGAGACCAUAAAGAGGAGAGUGAAGAUUGACUUGAUGGUGCACAUGCAGGAAGGAUCCAGCCUAGGUCAAAGCAGUGUUAUUAAAUUUCGGCCAUGGCGACACCAUGGCGAAAAUCGGUAUCGGUUUCCCAGCCUACCGCCAUAACAAGGCGGCGACGAAUCAGGUUUUCCAUGGCAGCCGCUUUUGGCAUAACGGAUGACGGUGGCAUAGCGGUUGUGACGAAAAAAUCAAAUGGAAAAACAAAAAUCAAGAUCUUGAACAGAAGAGAAGAGAAGAAAUGUGCAAAAUGAUAGUGGUCUGCAACGGCGACGGGUAUUACUACUACUCUCUACUGCCGUCAGCUACUGUCGCUGCCAGUCCUCACCGCUGGUUGCCACCUCCGGCCUUCACCGCCGCCGUCAGCCACCAUUUGCCGUCGCCAAGUCUUUUUUUUAUUAUCUUUUUUUCUAUUUCUCUACUUUGACUAUAAUUAUUUUGAAGAAAAUAUACCUAUUUUCAACAAUAAUAAUAGCCAAUGAUCAUGAUACUUCCAGAAUAUCUCAUAGAAGUGAUCAGUGUUGGAAACAUUGUCAUCCAAUUUGACAAAUCUAUCAGUGAUAUAUCUAGAUUCCAGUUUUGCUAUGAAAUUACAAGUGACCAAUGCCAUUCAAAAGAUUUUAGGAUCAACUAAAGAUUCUAAAAAUUGAAAAGAGACAUCAUAUCAUUACUUUUCAUUAAAAUUAUAUGUGGUGGUAUUACAUUUUGUGUACCGCAAUAUUUCUGUCAUAACCUGUUAUGGUUUUUUUAUAACUUUAUAAAGGUUUUUGGAGGCCACCGCUAUUUUCCGUUCUCUGAUAUUAAUAACACUGGGUCAAAGGCGCGUUGUGUGGCCUUCGGGUUCGAUUUGUUUGUGAGGAAAAAGGAGAGAGUUGGGUCAGGUUUUGCUUUGGGGAUUUUUCUUUGGUAUAAAAUGGAAAGAACGAGGGUUUUGUACGAGGAUUCACAAUGUUUUUGAGAGAACUAGGUUUUGCAUUUUCUGGUGCGCGAGAGAGUCACUGUAUAGGAGGUUUCUCAUAUACAGGAGGUUUCUCAUAUUCUGACAGCACAAAGUGGCCAGCGGGAGUAGGUCUCCUCCAAUGUGCAAGAUUCAAGACGAUAUGAGUGAUUCACUCGGCUAGAUCUUUCCAACCAACUGAUUUGUUCUUCCGUUUGAAGGAAGAAAUUGGAGACCUAACAUGUAACAAUGAGAUUGUUUAGCCUAACUUUUCUUGUAACCUUGGAUUAUGUUAAAGCUACAACUGAUAUGGUGUAACUUGUUUGUGAUGUAUUUCAAACUAAAAGUACCUUUAGUUGGUUGUAAAAAUAUAAACAAACAUCUGUUACAAACACUUAUAUGUAUGUUAACAUUUUAUUCGCAUAAAUAUCAUGUAUGUCUAACAGAUGAUACAUUCGAGUGAUGUAUUAUUAUUAUUUUUUUGUUUGGUAUUUAUUAAUUGAAUACAAAUAAAUUUUUCCUUAAGUAAAUGAUACAUUAGACAAGUAAAGAACAUCUAGUAGCACCGAAUUCUAGUU